Molecule: ribosomal RNA, 737 nt
Filed under: uncultured bacterium
Lineage: Bacteria
Description: bacterial SSU rRNA
Rfam family: Bacterial small subunit ribosomal RNA
Source: RNAcentral
ACAGGAUUAGAUACCCUGGUAGUCCAUGCCGUAAACGUUGGGCACUAGGUGUGGGGCUCAUUCCACGAGUUCCGUGCCGCAGCUAACGCAUUAAGUGCCCCGCCUGGGGAGUACGGCCGCAAGGCUAAAACUCAAAGGAAUUGACGGGGGCCCGCACAAGCGGCGGAGCAUGCGGAUUAAUUCGAUGCAACGCGAAGAACCUUACCAAGGCUUGACAUACACCGGAAACACUCAGAGAUGGGUGCCCCGUAAGGUCGGUGUACAGGUGGUGCAUGGUUGUCGUCAGCUCGUGUCGUGAGAUGUUGGGUUAAGUCCCGCAACGAGCGCAACCCUCAUCCUAUGUUGCCAGCGGGUUAUGCCGGGGACUCAUGGGAGACUGCCGGGGUCAACUCGGAGGAAGGUGGGGAUGACGUCAAAUCAUCAUGCCCCUUAUGUCUUGGGCUUCACGCAUGCUACAAUGGCCGGUACAGAGGGCUGCGAUACCGUAAGGUGGAGCGAAUCCCAAAAAGCCGGUCUCAGUUCGGAUUGGGGUCUGCAACUCGACCCCAUGAAGUCGGAGUCGCUAGUAAUCGCAGAUCAGCAACGCUGCGGUGAAUACGUUCCCGGGCCUUGUACACACCGCCCGUCAAGUCACGAAAGUUGGUAACACCCGAAGCUCAUGGCCCAACCCUUGUGGGGGGAAUGGUCGAAGGUGGGACUGGCGAUUGGGACUAAGUCGUAACAAGGUAACCAAGGGC